This 466-nucleotide ribosomal RNA is filed under the name Sinonovacula constricta (Chinese razor clam). Its description in RNAcentral is "eukaryotic LSU rRNA". The stretch from base 386 to 466 matches the Rfam family "Eukaryotic large subunit ribosomal RNA", at positions 1 to 81 of the family's 3401-position model. The record is from RNAcentral. Lineage: Eukaryota; Metazoa; Mollusca; Bivalvia; Cardiida; Solecurtidae.
AACGCACAUUGCGGCCGCGGGUCACUCCCGCGGCCACGCCUGUCCGAGGGUCGGCUACUCUGGUACUCGCCGGGUGCAUCAUCGCAUCCGGCGCGUUGGCGCGUCGCUCGCCGUUUUACCACGGCGACCGUCCGCCUCGAGACUGCAGCUUCGCCAACGUCCUCCGGCCUCACCGGGUCGGCGGCUCCAAAAACCGUUGCCGGUCUUCGGGGACGUGGUUCGGAUCGAACUGCUUCUCGCCCCGACGAAGCAACGGAGCCGCCAGCACUCCGCUUCACUGCGGAGCGACGGUGUCACUGGUUUUCCGGAAAGGGGACGUUUCGGGCGAAGAGUCGUCGGCGGGGGCCACCGUGCCGUCGCCGCCCGACAGACACAAAACUAGCUCCGACCUCGGAUCAGACGAGACUACCCGCUGAACUUAAGCAUAUCAGUAAGCGGAGGAAAAGAAACUAACAAGGAUUCCCUC